RNAcentral lists this RNase P RNA (342 nucleotides) under Methanoregula sp. Its description in RNAcentral is "RNase P RNA component". It matches the Rfam family "Archaeal RNase P". Rfam says of the family: Ribonuclease P (RNase P) is a ubiquitous endoribonuclease, found in archaea, bacteria and eukarya as well as chloroplasts and mitochondria. Its best characterised activity is the generation of mature 5'-ends of tRNAs by cleaving the 5'-leader elements of precursor-tRNAs. Cellular RNase Ps are ribonucleoproteins. Lineage: Archaea; Methanobacteriati; Methanobacteriota; Methanomicrobia; Methanomicrobiales; Methanoregulaceae. The record is from RNAcentral.
GAGAGGGAGAGAGCGGCCGACGGUGACUUAAAUGUUGCUGAGGAAAGUCCCCCCACCCACCGGUCACGCAGCCGUACGCAAGUACGGGUGGCGAGAGUCACGGCAAUGGCACAGAAACGACACGGCCUGUUUUUAGCAAUGAUGCGACCCGAGCCUGUAAAGGCAAGAAGCACGGACAACCGUGCGAGUAACUCGCUGAGCGUCUGAGGAACAGGAUACGUUGGAACGACGAAUCCCUGCGGGUGCAAGCCAGAACAGGGCAAAUGGAUAGUCCGGUAUCCGCCCGGGUAUGGCGCAGAGCUGAAUGCCGCUAAAACUAAAGGAGGCUUACUCCUCCCACUC